Molecule: non-coding RNA, 110 nt
Organism: Acanthosepion pharaonis
Lineage: Eukaryota; Metazoa; Mollusca; Cephalopoda; Sepiida; Sepiidae
Source: the annotation of a GenBank genome assembly
UUACGGUCAUAUCACGUUGAAACACCGGGUUCUCAUACGAUCACCGAAGUCAAGAAACGUCGACCCUGGUCAGUACCUAAAUGGUUGACCGCUUGGAAAUACCAGGUGUU